This 216-nucleotide ribosomal RNA is filed under the name uncultured bacterium. RNAcentral describes it as "partial 16S ribosomal RNA". It matches the Rfam family "Bacterial small subunit ribosomal RNA", at positions 118 to 347 of the family's 1533-position model. The record is from RNAcentral.
UGGGAAUCUGCCCUCAGGUACGGAAUAACUCAGGGAAACUUGAGCUAAUACCGCAUAAUGUCUUCGGACCAAAGAUUUAUCGCCUGGGGAUGAGCCCGCGUAGGAUUAGCUUGUUGGUGAGGUAAAAGCUCACCAAGGCGACGAUCCUUAGCUGGUCUGAGAGGAUGAUCAGCCACACUGGGACUGAGACACGGCCAGACCUCCGUACGGGAGCAG